GGUAGAUAUUACACAAACUAAAUAUGUUUUUACUCUGGUUAAUUUUAUUUUGUAUUUUCCUUAUAAACUGUCUAAAUGUUGCCUGUUAAUGUUUUACAGGUAUUGCUUCAAGAACACUCAACCUGGGUUAAUUUAAGAUAAUAAGCCUUCACUCAAAGGACAGAUAGGAUAGCACAGACCCCAAUUAAUGUGAGAUUAUAGACAUUAAAGUUAAAGCCCAGUAUUCUUAAUUUAAGACUGGUGAGAGUGACUUGUAGAUGUUUAAGAUCAAGACUCAAAAAUUAAAAUUAAAUUAAAAGGGACCAAGAACCAAUAUUUGGCUCUUGUCCUCCGAGUCAGUGUAAACCCAGGGAACAGGGAACUUCUCUAAAGAGCUUUGCAACUUUGGGCCCCAUAACCUCCAGAUCAGGGAGAUUAAUGAGACCCCUGGAGAACAGAAAGCCAAUCGAUGCACUUGCCAUGAAGAGGAGGGUUAUUGGAGAAGGGAGACAUCCCUGGUGCUUCCAAGGGAAGCCACAUGGUCUGCAAGACCUGGAUCCCUCCUAGCACAAAUGGCCCUAGCAGAACUAAGAAAUUGCUCUCAAGUCCCCACAAGAGUAACUCCUAUGGAAACUCAGCUGACUCUUAAUAAUAGAGAGAAACAAAAGUCAUUUUGACUUGCUUCAUCCUAAACACCUAACAAAAAUAGUUAAAACCAAAAGAUAGCCACUCCUAGGCAUUUAAAGAUAAAUAAUAAUAGUUAAAUAUAACUUAACCUAUACACUUAUGUUAGCCCCCAAGAUAAGUAAGACUGGAGGCUACAAAGAGGGAUUCUCAGGCAGGAAUGCCUGAUAACUAUCAAAAGAAACUAUCAAGAGGAACUGCCAGAGUCAGAAGUUUUUAGUUAAUUUAAGGCCUGCAGAUAUUCCUAACCUACACAGGUAAGCUUGAUGUUUGUGAGUAUGACUAUCCAGCCCUAAGUAACAGAAAUAAAGGGUUCUCUACUAGACACGGAGGUCAUACCAGCAAAAAUUUUACAAGAUCAGAUGACAUUGAGUAGCUUAACUACAUCUCAUGGGGAUGGACAUCUACAACAUUAAAAGUUAAAUGUUGUGUUUACAUUCCUGAUAAUUCUAAAGAUGUUAAAAAUUUACAUUCCUAUAUAAAGGCCUUGUCCACUCUGGCCUUAUUAUGGGGACAGCUUCUCAAUCUUCACACCUCCUGGUGAGAAAAUAUUAACUUCUGCCAUCUUCAUGAUAUUCAUUGACAUGUUCCAGAGGCAGCAAUAUUUGUUCAGUACUCAUGUUUUUUGUUUCUCUUUCAUAGAAGCACCCAUCCUCACAGAACUUUACAACCUCUUCUUCCCCAACCAGACUUCAAUCUGACCUGAACCCCACAUCGCCCCCUCUCAGCUCCGAAGAAGCCAGAACAAGCGCCACCCCUUUCCUUACAACAGUGAAGCCAGAAAUAGACAGUCAAUAUAGAUAGGUAAAUCUAGUCAGGUCGGAUCAGGGGGCCAGUUUUGGGUGAGUCCAAGAGGGAUUAAAAUUGAAAUGUAACCUGAGGGAUUAAAAUUCCUUCAGAGCUCUUCCUCUACCCUAUCAAAGAUUUGAAAGGGACACAUAAGACAAGGGGGAAUGAUGAACCCAGCUUAAUUCUAUCUUAAGAUUGGGAGACAUCUCAUCGCAAAGUCAUAAAAAGUUAAUUUCUGUUUUACUAUAAAUUACUGCGAUUUCUAAACUUGCUUGGAAUGCCUGCCCAUGCCUUGAACUCACCCGUGUCUGGUUUUCCCUGACCAGAUAACAACCCUCUCUGAAACCCUAUUGGUGCCUCAUAAAUUCUGAUAUUGGGAUCUAAAUUUAUUUCCUAAGUGCUGAACCAUUUAGACCAUUAAACUACUACCUGCCUUUGUAUUAUGCUUGUCAAAAUCCUGUUAUCUGUAAGUUCUCAAGACACCCGCCUUUUUGCAACUUUUUGUGCUAUAAAACUACGCUCCUAGAGAGCUGGGGUACUGUUCUCUAACCCACGGAUUUCGG
RNAcentral lists this long non-coding RNA (2015 nucleotides) under Marmota monax (woodchuck). The record is from RNAcentral. Lineage: Eukaryota; Metazoa; Chordata; Mammalia; Rodentia; Sciuridae.